This 30-nucleotide non-coding RNA is filed under the name Homo sapiens (human). The record is from RNAcentral. Lineage: Eukaryota; Metazoa; Chordata; Mammalia; Primates; Hominidae.
UGCCCGAUGACAUGGAAAAGCAUCCAGGAC